This 1019-nucleotide ribosomal RNA is filed under the name uncultured bacterium. RNAcentral describes it as "bacterial SSU rRNA". It matches the Rfam family "Bacterial small subunit ribosomal RNA", at positions 355 to 1375 of the family's 1533-position model. The record is from RNAcentral. RNAcentral also lists the same sequence under 1 other name.
UGAGGAAUAUUGGUCAAUGGCCGAGAGGCUGAACCAGCCAAGUCGCGUGAAGGAAGAAGGAUCUAUGGUUUGUAAACUUCUUUUAUAGGGGAAUAAAGUGGAGGACGUGUCCUUUUUUGUAUGUACCCUAUGAAUAAGCAUCGGCUAACUCCGUGCCAGCAGCCGCGGUAAUACGGAGGAUGCGAGCGUUAUCCGGAUUUAUUGGGUUUAAAGGGUGCGUAGGUGGUGAUUUAAGUCAGCGGUGAAAGUUUGUGGCUCAACCAUAAAAUUGCCGUUGAAACUGGGUUACUUGAGUGUGUUUGAGGUAGGCGGAAUGCGUGGUGUAGCGGUGAAAUGCAUAGAUAUCACGCAGAACUCCGAUUGCGAAGGCAGCUUACUAAACCAUAACUGACACUGAAGCACGAAAGCGUGGGGAUCAAACAGGAUUAGAUACCCUGGUAGUCCACGCAGUAAACGAUGAUUACUAGGAGUUUGCGAUACAAUGUAAGCUCUACAGCGAAAGCGUUAAGUAAUCCACCUGGGGAGUACGCCGGCAACGGUGAAACUCAAAGGAAUUGACGGGGGCCCGCACAAGCGGAGGAACAUGUGGUUUAAUUCGAUGAUACGCGAGGAACCUUACCCGGGUUUGAACGUAGUCUGACCGGAGUGGAAACACUUUUUCUAGCAAUAGCAGAUUACGAGGUGCUGCAUGGUUGUCGUCAGCUCGUGCCGUGAGGUGUCGGCUUAAGUGCCAUAACGAGCGCAACCCUUAUCACUAGUUACUAACAGGUGAAGCUGAGGACUCUGGUGAGACUGCCAGCGUAAGCUGUGGGGAAGGUGGGGAUGACGUCAAAUCAGCACGGCCCUUACAUCCGGGGCGACACACGUGUUACAAUGGCAUGGACAAAGGGCAGCUACCUGGCGACAGGAUGCUAAUCUCCAAACCAUGUCUCAGUUCGGAUCGGAGUCUGCAACUCGACUCCGUGAAGCUGGAUUCGCUAGUAAUCGCGCAUCAGCCAUGGCGCGGUGAAUACGUUCCC